This 529-nucleotide ribosomal RNA is filed under the name uncultured Enterobacter sp. RNAcentral describes it as "bacterial SSU rRNA". It matches the Rfam family "Bacterial small subunit ribosomal RNA", at positions 8 to 526 of the family's 1533-position model. Lineage: Bacteria; Pseudomonadati; Pseudomonadota; Gammaproteobacteria; Enterobacterales; Enterobacteriaceae. The record is from RNAcentral.
AGAGUUUGAUCCUGGCUCAGAUUGAACGCUGGCGGCAGGCCUAACACAUGCAAGUCGAACGGUAACAGGAAACAGCUUGCUGUUUCGCUGACGAGUGGCGGACGGGUGAGUAAUGUCUGGGAAACUGCCUGAUGGAGGGGGAUAACUACUGGAAACGGUAGCUAAUACCGCAUAACGUCGCAAGACCAAAGAGGGGGACCUUCGGGCCUCUUGCCAUCAGAUGUGCCCAGAUGGGAUUAGCUAGUAGGUGGGGUAACGGCUCACCUAGGCGACGAUCCCUAGCUGGUCUGAGAGGAUGACCAGCCACACUGGAACUGAGACACGGUCCAGACUCCUACGGGAGGCAGCAGUGGGGAAUAUUGCACAAUGGGCGCAAGCCUGAUGCAGCCAUGCCGCGUGUAUGAAGAAGGCCUUCGGGUUGUAAAGUACUUUCAGCGGGGAGGAAGGGAGUAAAGUUAAUACCUUUGCUCAUUGACGUUACCCGCAGAAGAAGCMCCGGCUAACUCCGUGCCAGCAGSSGCGGUAAUAC